Molecule: ribosomal RNA, 240 nt
Filed under: uncultured soil bacterium
Lineage: Bacteria
Description: partial 16S ribosomal RNA
Rfam family: Bacterial small subunit ribosomal RNA
Source: RNAcentral
AGAUUGAACGCUGGCGGCAUGCCUAACACAUGCAAGUCGAACGGGAGUAGCAAUACUCUAGUGGCGGACGGGUGAGGAAUACGUAGGAAUUUGCCCUUAAGUGGGGGAUAACCCGGGGAAACCCGGAUUAAUACCGCAUGACCUCGAAAGAGCAAAGUGGGGGAUCGCAAGACCUCACGCUUUUGGAGAAGCCUACGUCGGAUUAGCUAGUUGGUGAGGUAAUGGCUCACCAAGGCGACG